Poeciliopsis prolifica (blackstripe livebearer) is the source of this 1300-nucleotide long non-coding RNA. RefSeq lists it as uncharacterized. NCBI's taxonomy places the organism in Eukaryota, Metazoa, Chordata, Actinopteri, Cyprinodontiformes, Poeciliidae. The transcript is spliced from 4 exons. The record is from RefSeq and is a predicted model, not a curated record.
UUUCAGUGCUGGCUCUAUUGAAAAGAUCCAAACAAGAGCCGUACUUUUCUCAUCAAUUACACAGAUCUGCCUCAACGUGAAUUACGGCAAGAAUUUGGUGACAGUGGAGAGAAAAAAAACCUCCAGCAGAACAAGAUUGAUGAGGGGAGCCAUCUGCCUCUCCUGGUGAAAAGGACAGAGAAACGAGCAUGUUAAUAUGCAACAUUUGAGGACAAGAGGUGUUGGAAAGUUCGCCGCAGAUCAUGUUUUUAUGCAAAGCCCUCUGGAGGAUCAUACCAGAUGAAAAUCCUGAGUGUACAGGACCGCUUUCUCUGAAAGGAUCUGAGUGCCAAAUGAGUCCAAGCCAUGUGUGUUCAUGUGCUGAGUGACAUCUGUGGCUGCCUUCCUGCCUGCAGCAAAUACUUCAGCUGGAAGUUCAGACCUGCAACGGAGGGACAACCUCUGUACUGUCUGAGCCGCUCACAUCCAGGACCCUCCAGCCUUAUGAAAUCCGUCUGUUUGCCAGCUCAGUUCUGCUUUAUUAACUCCAAAUGUCUCCCCUAAAAUUUGUCAUCUGUGUUAGGAGCGACUGUGACGCACAGUCCACCCAGACCUCUGCUCAGAUGCGCGGCAUAAAUCACAGUGGAACCAAAUUAGAAUCUAAAAUAAGGAACAGAGGGGGAUAUUUUGGUGAGCCUUUAAUAACUCAGCUGCUUGUUCUAGGUGGAACAGUUGAGCUGGCAUCCUGCUAAACCCAACAGAGCCCCAGAUAAUGGUGUGGAUAAAAUCUGACAUGUAUUAAAAGGAACAAUGAAAAAUGGCUCCCCUGAUCACUUGUUCCACUGUGAUAUAUUAAAAUUUUAUCGCAAUAUUAAACGCAGAGAGCAGCAAAAAGUUGAAGAAUAUUUUCGGUUUCAUAAAGCAGCUUCUGCUCUCUUCUCAAUAAAAUUAAGAUGCUUUCAGGAAUCUUGAUUAACAUUAUGCAUUUUCUACAACAUCUUAAUGCAAUAAAGGCUUUCACUGAAGAUACAAUUUGGUCUAAUCUGUGGUUUAAGCAGACUUUGCAUCUACCAAAGGCCUUCUUCAAUCUUGUGGACCCCGAGAAAACUUAAAUUCUCCCAGGAAAGCUUUAUAAAUGCACCAUUACUAUUAUGGGAAGAGUUAGAACCUAAAACCAAUAAAACAAUUUCCACUAUAACAAUUUACAAAUGGAUGGAUGAAAAAGAUCAAAUUUUGUUAUUAGUGCACAUAAAUGCAUCAACCAGUAUCAAAUCCCUGAGCCUUAAUUCAUGUUUGUCAUGUUCCAUUUUUUAUUUUGAAA